AACGAACGCUGGCGGCAUGCCUAACACAUGCAAGUCGAACGAAGCCUUCGGGCUUAGUGGCGCACGGGUGCGUAACGCGUGGGAAUCUGCCCUUGGGUUCGGAAUAACAGUUAGAAAUGACUGCUAAUACCGAAUGAUGUCUUCGGACCAAAGAUUUAUCGCCCAAGGAUGAGCCCGCGUCGGAUUAGCUAGUUGGUGAGGUAAAGGCUCACCAAGGCGACGAUCCGUAGCUGGUCUGAGAGGAUGAUCAGCCACACUGGGACUGAGACACGGCCCAGACUCCUACGGGAGGCGGCAGUGGGGAAUAUUGGACAAUGGGCGAAAGCCUGAUCCAGCAAUGCCGCGUGAGUGAUGAAGGCCUUAGGGUUGUAAAGCUCUUUUACCCGGGAUGAUAAUGACAGUACCGGGAGAAUAAGCCCCGGCUAACUCCGUGCCAGCAGCCGCGGUAAU
Molecule: ribosomal RNA, 450 nt
Filed under: uncultured bacterium
Lineage: Bacteria
Description: bacterial SSU rRNA
Rfam family: Bacterial small subunit ribosomal RNA
Source: RNAcentral